AGAAUCAACGCUGGCGGCGUGCCUAACACAUGCAAGUCGCACGAGAAAGUGGAGCAAUCCAUGAGUACAGUGGCGCACGGGUGAGUAACACGUGAAUCAUCUACCUCCGAGUGGGGAAUAACCUAGAGAAAUCUGGGCUAAUACCGCAUAACACUUACGAGUCAAAGCAGCAAUGCGCUUGGAGAGGAGUUCGCGGCCGAUUAGCUAGUUGGCGGGGUAAUGGCCCACCAAGGCGAUGAUCGGUAC
RNAcentral lists this ribosomal RNA (246 nucleotides) under uncultured bacterium. RNAcentral's name for it is "partial small subunit ribosomal RNA". It matches the Rfam family "Bacterial small subunit ribosomal RNA", at positions 26 to 286 of the family's 1533-position model. The record is from RNAcentral.